This 410-nucleotide ribosomal RNA is filed under the name uncultured bacterium. RNAcentral's name for it is "bacterial SSU rRNA". It matches the Rfam family "Bacterial small subunit ribosomal RNA", at positions 466 to 874 of the family's 1533-position model. The record is from RNAcentral.
GAAAUGACGUGUACUGACAAUAGCUCUGCUACUCCGUGCCACAGCCGCGGUAAGACGGAGGAUGCAGUGUUAUCCGGAAUUACUGGGGCGUAAAGCGUCUGUAGGUGGUUUAAUAAGUCAACUGUUAAAUCUUGAGGCUUAACUUCAAACCAGCAGUCGAAACUAUUAGACUAGAGUAUAGUAGGGGUAAAGGGAAUUUCCAGUGGAGCGGUGUAAUGCGUAGAUAUUGGAAAGAACACCGAUGGCGAAAGCACUUAACUGGGCUAUUACUAACACUCAGAGACGAAAGCUAGGGUAGCAAAUGGGAUUAGAUACCCCAGUAGUCCUAGCUGUAAACAAUGGAUAACCCCUAGCAUGUUGAACAGAUCGAUCUGUGCAGUAUUAAAGCUAACGCGUUAAGUAUCCCGGCU